GACGAACGCUGGCGGCGUGCUUAACACAUGCAAGUCGAACGGAAAGGCCCUGCUUUUGUGGGGUGCUCGAGUGGCGAACGGGUGAGUAACACGUGAGUAACCUGCCCUUGACUUUGGGAUAACUUCAGGAAACUGGGGCUAAUACCGGAUAGGAGCUCCUGCUGCAUGGUGGGGGUUGGAAAGUUUCGGCGGUUGGGGAUGGACUCGCGGCUUAUCAGCUUGUUGGUGGGGUAGUGGCUUACCAAGGCUUUGACGGGUAGCCGGCCUGAGAGGGUGACCGGCCACAUUGGGACUGAGAUACGGCCCAGACUCCUACGGGAGGCAGCAGUGGGGAAUAUUGCACAAUGGGCGGAAGCCUGAUGCAGCAACGCCGCGUGCGGGAUGACGGCCUUCGGGUUGUAAACCGCUUUCGCCUGUGACGAAGCGUGAGUGACGGUAAUGGGUAAAGAAGCACCGGCUAACUACGUGCCAGCAGCCGCGGUGAUACGUAGGGUGCGAGCGUUGUCCGGAUUUAUUGGGCGUAAAGGGCUCGUAGGUGGUUGAUCGCGUCGGAAGUGUAAUCUUGGGGCUUAACCCUGAGCGUGCUUUCGAUACGGGUUGACUUGAGGAAGGUAGGGGAGAAUGGAAUUCCUGGUGGAGCGGUGGAAUGCGCAGAUAUCAGGAGGAACACCAGUGGCGAAGGCGGUUCUCUGGGCCUUUCCUGACGCUGAGGAGCGAAAGCGUGGGGAGCGAACAGGCUUAGAUACCCUGGUAGUCCACGCUGUAAACGGUGGGUACUAGGUGUGGGGUCCAUUCCACGGGUUCCGUGCCGUAGCUAACGCUUUAAGUACCCCGCCUGGGGAGUACGGCCGCAAGGCUAAAACUCAAAGGAAUUGACGGGGCCCCGCACAAGCGGCGGAGCAUGCGGAUUAAUUCGAUGCAACGCGUAGAACCUUACCUGGGUUUGACAUGGAUCGGGAGCGCUCAGAGAUGGGUGUGCCUCUUUUGGGGUCGGUUCACAGGUGGUGCAUGGCUGUCGUCAGCUCGUGUCGUGAGAUGUUGGGUUAAGUCCCGCAACGAGCGCAACCCUUGUUCACUGUUGCCAGCACGUUAUGGUGGGGACUCAGUGGAGACCGCCGGGGUCAACUCGGAGGAAGGUGGGGAUGACGUCAAGUCAUCAUGCCCCUUAUGUCCAGGGCUUCACGCAUGCUACAAUGGCUGGUACAGAGAGUGGCGAGCCUGUGAGGGUGAGCGAAUCUCGGAAAGCCGGUCUCAGUUCGGAUUGGGGUCUGCAACUCGACCUCAUGAAGUCGGAGUCGCUAGUAAUCGCAGAUCUGCAACGCUGCGGUGAAUACGUUCCCGGG
Molecule: ribosomal RNA, 1343 nt
Filed under: uncultured bacterium
Lineage: Bacteria
Description: 16S ribosomal RNA
Rfam family: Bacterial small subunit ribosomal RNA
Source: RNAcentral